AUGUAUGAUUUCAAUAUAGCAGGCAACAGACUAUCAGGUGUUAUACCCUGGAAUAUGUCAAAAUUAACAAGCAUGAAGAGGAAGAAUGAUGGUGAGCAGCUAUUUUAUAAUUUGCCUGUGACCACGAAGCGUCAGGAACGUUAUUACGGAGUUCGACAUUCCAAGAUGGUGACCAUUGUCUUAUCCUUGAAUUUCUUAACUGGGGAAAUUCCAGAAGAAAUUGUUUCUCUUGGCCAACUGGUGAAUCUGAAUUUGUCAUGGAACUACUUGUCUGGAGAAAUUCCACAUAAGAUUGGAUCCAUGCAAUCACUUGAAUCACUAGACCUGUCAAGGAAUAAACUUUCCGGAGAAAUUCCACUGAGCAUAUCAAAUCUAACAUAUUUGGCUUGGUUGGAUCUUUCGUACAACAAUUUGUCAGGAAGAUUGCCACCGGGAUCACAACUUGACACCCUAUAUGACAAUAACCCAUAUAUGUACAAAGGCAACAAAGGUCUUUGUGGGUCUCCUCUCCAACGGAAUUGUUCAGGAGAUAAUAAUGCAACAAAGCUUGACAACAGUGAUCAAGAGAGAAGUGCGCAUGUCCCAGGUCCAAUGUUUUUCCACCUUGGGCUUGGGUCAGGGUUUGUUGUUGGUGUCUGGGUGGUGUUAUGUACCAUGCUCUUCAAGAAAACGUGGAGGAUUGCAUAUUUCCGGCUCUUUGAUGAGGUAUAUGACAAGCUAUAUGUAUUUGUCGUCGUCAAUUGUGCAAAAUUGGCACGGAAGACACCACAGCUAAUUGAGAAGCUUGGCUAG
RNAcentral lists this ribosomal RNA (792 nucleotides) under Triticum aestivum (bread wheat). RNAcentral describes it as "partial small subunit ribosomal RNA". The record is from RNAcentral. Lineage: Eukaryota; Viridiplantae; Streptophyta; Magnoliopsida; Poales; Poaceae.